UACAUUUGUGCAUGUGUGUUUAACAUAUUUUUCUUUUUUUUUCUAAAGGGCUCAGAUUACCCAGAACCCCAACCUCCGAAGAAAAAUAUUCAAACGACUAUUUCCCUUGUAAACUACACGGAUUCUAAUGAAUCUCAGAGUCAAGUCUCAUUUAAUGAGGGGGAAGAGAACGAGACAACAAUUCCAGAUGUGAGCCACGUCGAUGCAGCACCAAAGCAGGACACCAUGACACCUCCACAAGCCCAUUGCAGCCGAUCACCAAAAAAAGACAGAGGUCGUCGACCUUUAAAGAGAAGGAUGUGGGACAAAGAGGAGAUCCGUGCUGUCGAGAUGCACAUGAUGUCCUUCAUCACUUCAUGUCGUGUUCCUGGGAAAAGCGACUGUGAUAAGUGCCUUGAACUCAAAAAAGUAGCUCUCAAAAACAGAGAUUGGUUAGCCAUAAAGUUCUACAUUAAGAAUCGAAUCACAGCUCUCAAGAACAAAGUUUAAAAUGAUCAUUUAAUGUCAGCAACAUGUUCAAUUGUUUCCUUCAUACAUUGCUUUGUUUGCAAUGCAAUGACAUUUGGAUACUGUUCAGUGUUCUGCUAGAUGAAUUAUUGUUGUGCAACAAUAGGUAUGGUUGUAAAUCACCAGCUUCAUUACAAUACGAUAUUAUAUCAAUUUGUUUGGAUGACAAUAUGAUGUUUGCCGAUUUCACAAAGUCUGUCACGAUUCGAUUUCGAUUCGAUACGAUUCAGCAGCCUGCGAUCGAUAUGACGCGAUAUUAUAUUAUUUGACCAUUUUAUUUCUGAGCUCUGUUUGUUGUUUGAGCGGAGGCGCACUUGCCCAGAAAUGGUGCAAGAUGUGCUAUGUGAAU
Molecule: long non-coding RNA, 856 nt
Organism: Epinephelus moara (kelp grouper)
Lineage: Eukaryota; Metazoa; Chordata; Actinopteri; Perciformes; Serranidae
Exons: 3
Source: RefSeq, a predicted model, not a curated record